CCUACGGGGGGCAGCAGUGAGGAAUAUUGGUCAAUGGACGAGAGUCUGAACCAGCCAAGUAGCGUGAAGGAUGACUGCCCUAUGGGUUGUAAACUUCUUUUAUAUGGGAAUAAAACGUUCCACGUGUGGGAUUUUGUAUGUACCAUAUGAAUAAGGAUCGGCUAACUCCGUGCCAGCAGCCGCGGUAAUACGGAGGAUCCGAGCGUUAUCCGGAUUUAUUGGGUUUAAAGGGAGCGUAGGUGGAUUGUUAAGUCAGUUGUGAAAGUUUGCGGCUCAACCGUAAAAUUGCAGUUGAAACUGGCAGUCUUGAGUACAGUAGAGGUGGGCGGAAGUCGUGGUGUAGCGGUGAAAUGCUUAGAUAUCACGAAGAACUCCGAUUGCGAAGGCAGUUCACUGGACUGCAACUGACACUGAGGCUCGAAAGUGUGGGUAUCAAACAGGAUUAGAUACCCUUGUAGUC
This 460-nucleotide ribosomal RNA is filed under the name uncultured bacterium. RNAcentral's name for it is "partial 16S ribosomal RNA". It matches the Rfam family "Bacterial small subunit ribosomal RNA", at positions 338 to 795 of the family's 1533-position model. The record is from RNAcentral.